CUUGCUUCCGCUGACGACCGGCGCACGGGUGCGUAACGCGUAUGCAACCUACCUCAUACUGGAGAAUAGCCCUUGGAAACGAGGAUUAAUGCUCCAUAGUAUCACAGAUUCGCAUGUUUCUGUGAUUAAAGAAUUUCGGUAUGAGAUGGGCAUGCGUCCCAUUAGCUUGUUGGUGAGGUAACGGCUCACCAAGGCAACGAUGGGUAGGGGGCCUGAGAGGGUGACCCCCCACACUGGUACUGAGACACGGACCAGACUCCUACGGGAGGCAGCAGUGAGGAAUAUUGGGCAAUGGAGGCAACUCUGACCCAGCCAUGCCGCGUGAAGGAUGACUGCCCUAUGGGUUGUAAACUUCUUUUAUAUGGGAAGAAACUUAUCUACGUGUAGAUAACUGACGGUACCAUACGAAUAAGGAUCGGCUAACUCCGUGCUAGCAGCCGCGGUAAUACGGAGGAUCCAAGCGUUAUCCGGAUUCAUUGGGUUUAAAGGGUCCGUAGGCGGGUCUUUAAGUCAGUGGUGAAAGCCGACAGCUCAACUGUCGAACUGCCAUUGAU
RNAcentral lists this ribosomal RNA (554 nucleotides) under uncultured Bacteroidota bacterium. RNAcentral describes it as "bacterial SSU rRNA". It matches the Rfam family "Bacterial small subunit ribosomal RNA", at positions 79 to 631 of the family's 1533-position model. Lineage: Bacteria; Pseudomonadati; Bacteroidota. The record is from RNAcentral.